GAAAUAGCUCAGUCAGUAGAGCAUAAGACUCUUAAUCUCAGGGUUGUGGGUUUGACCCCUAUGUUGGGCA
Molecule: non-coding RNA, 70 nt
Organism: Podarcis lilfordi (Lilford's wall lizard)
Lineage: Eukaryota; Metazoa; Chordata; Lepidosauria; Squamata; Lacertidae
Source: the annotation of a GenBank genome assembly